This 359-nucleotide non-coding RNA is filed under the name Dicranidion inaequale. RNAcentral describes it as "partial 18S ribosomal RNA". The stretch from base 41 to 357 matches the Rfam family "Group I catalytic intron". Rfam says of the family: Group I catalytic introns are large self-splicing ribozymes. They catalyse their own excision from mRNA, tRNA and rRNA precursors in a wide range of organisms. Lineage: Eukaryota; Fungi; Ascomycota; Orbiliomycetes; Orbiliales; Orbiliaceae. The record is from RNAcentral.
UUCUUGCAGUGACGCCUUCAGAAGCCUUUGCAGCCCCGCAAGGGGCACCUGAACGACUCUAAACAAGAAUCAGGUGUUAAAUUGCAAGUCAGCCCGGCGCUGGCGACACUUUCGAAUUGCGGGGACGCCCUAAAGCCCACGCUACCAACCGGCUGAGGAAACUCGGCUGGGGCCCGUGCUAACGACACGGGGUAUGGUAACAAUGUGAUGGGAUAAGCAGUAUGGGUGAUCCGCAGCCAAGUCCCUACAGCCCGCUUCGGGCCACGGGAAAGGUUCACAGACUAAGUGGAAGUGGGUUGGUUGGCCUAGGGAGCCGGCCGGCUUAAGAUAUAGUCGGGCCUGGCGGGAAACCGCUGGGG